UACGGAGGAUGCGAGCGUUAUCCGGAUUUACUGGGUUUAAAGGGUGAGUAGGCGGGUUAGUAAGUCAGUGGUGAAAGUCUGUCGCUUAACGAUAGGAUUGCCAUUGAUACUGCUAGUCUUGAGUUCAGUUGAGGUAGGCGGAAUGUGCAGUGUAGCGGUGAAAUGCUUAGAUAUUGCACAGAACACCAAUUGCGAAGGCAGCUUACUAAACUGAUACUGACGCUGAGUCACGAAAGCGUGGGGAUCAAACAGG
Molecule: ribosomal RNA, 253 nt
Filed under: uncultured bacterium
Lineage: Bacteria
Description: partial 16S ribosomal RNA
Rfam family: Bacterial small subunit ribosomal RNA
Source: RNAcentral